This 462-nucleotide ribosomal RNA is filed under the name uncultured bacterium. RNAcentral describes it as "partial 16S ribosomal RNA". It matches the Rfam family "Bacterial small subunit ribosomal RNA", at positions 29 to 507 of the family's 1533-position model. The record is from RNAcentral.
AUGAACGCUGACAGAAUGCUUAACACCUGCAAGUCGAUGGGGAAGUGGUGCUUGCACCAUGGUAACCAUGGCGGACGGGUGAGUAACGCGUAAGGAACUUACCUGCGGGACCGGGAUAACAGCAGGAAACUGCUGACAAGACCGGAUAAGGUCAUUAAGCUGCAUAGCUUAGUGAUGAAAGGAGACGCCUGCGGAGAGCCUUGCGUCCUAUUAGCUAGUUGGAGGGGUAACGGCCCACCAAGGCGAAGAUAGGUAGCCGGCCUGAGAGGGUGGACGGCCACAAGGGGACUGAGAUACGGCCCUUACUCCUACGGGAGGCAGCAGUGGGGAAUAUUGGACAAUGGGGGCAACCCUGAUCCAGCAAUUCUGUGUGCACGAAGACGGUUUUCGGAUUGUAAAGUGCUUUCAGCAGGGAAGAAGGAAGUGACGGUACCUGCAGAAGAAGCGACGGCUAAAUACGUG